AGCUUUGUGCAGUGGCAGUAUCGUAGCCAAUGAGGUUUAUCUGAGGUGCGAUUAUUGCUAAUAGAAAUGAAGAACUUAUUUUUCCAUUUAACCCGGUUGUAGGGAGUGCUGCUACCUAGAGUCUGAAGCUCUCAAUUCUCUCUGAGAAAUAUUCUUGUCAAGGUCACAGCCU
Molecule: small nuclear RNA, 172 nt
Filed under: Suricata suricatta (meerkat)
Lineage: Eukaryota; Metazoa; Chordata; Mammalia; Carnivora; Herpestidae
Description: U4 spliceosomal RNA (ENSSSUG00005008918.1)
Rfam family: U4 spliceosomal RNA (bases 1-147)
About the family: U4 small nuclear RNA (U4 snRNA) is a component of the major U2-dependent spliceosome. The structure of U4 snRNA from yeast and human has been reported.
Source: RNAcentral